GAGGGUAUAGCUUAGUGGUAGAGUGAGUGGCUGGCAUGCACAAGGUCCUGGGUUCAAUCCCCAGCACCUCCA
Transfer RNA from Camelus ferus (Wild Bactrian camel), 72 nucleotides. It matches the Rfam family "tRNA". Rfam says of the family: Transfer RNA (tRNA) molecules are approximately 80 nucleotides in length. Their secondary structure includes four short double-helical elements and three loops (D, anti-codon, and T loops). Lineage: Eukaryota; Metazoa; Chordata; Mammalia; Artiodactyla; Camelidae. The record is from Rfam.